This is a non-coding RNA of Picea glauca (white spruce), 121 nucleotides long. The record is from Rfam. Lineage: Eukaryota; Viridiplantae; Streptophyta; Pinopsida; Pinales; Pinaceae.
ACAUGCCUACAACAUAGUGUUAAUGCACCGGAUCCCAUUAGAACUUCGCAGUUAAGUGCGCUUAAGCUAGAGUAGUACUGGGAUGGGUGACCGCCCGAGAAGUCCUAGUAUUUUACAUGCC